UAUUGCUGGACCCGUGACGGUUUCCCGACCCCGUGAAGGGGGAAGGAAGCAAUAGGGAACACGGUGCGGCGUACCCAUCAGGGACCAAAUCCGUGGCUGCCCCCGCAACUGUAGGCGGUGGGCGCCCCCAUCAAGGCCACUGGCCGCCCUUUUGGGGCCGGCCGGGAAGGCGGGGGCGCUGCAUUCACCGUGAGCCAGGAGACCUGCCGGCACCCCGGGAUCAUU
This 225-nucleotide non-coding RNA is filed under the name Pelagibacterium sp. Lineage: Bacteria; Pseudomonadati; Pseudomonadota; Alphaproteobacteria; Hyphomicrobiales; Devosiaceae. The record is from RNAcentral.